Gadus chalcogrammus (walleye pollock) is the source of this 221-nucleotide long non-coding RNA. RefSeq lists it as uncharacterized. NCBI's taxonomy places the organism in Eukaryota, Metazoa, Chordata, Actinopteri, Gadiformes, Gadidae. The record is from RefSeq and is a predicted model, not a curated record. The transcript is spliced from 2 exons.
CCAACAGAGUAUGCGUCCUGUGGCUGAGGGCAUCCCUGGGGGGAGCUCCUCUGAUCCCCCCCACCCCCCAGGAUAGAAGUGCCUUUACAGUAUAAGAGUUACUGAUGGCGUCAUCGCCCUACUUGAACCAGAUGCCCUCACCAACCUCCAUGCAAUUGUAACAAUUCAAAAGAUGCAAAAGGAUGCUUUGGAGAUCCAAAUUUUGGAACAUAAGUUAUAGG